This 253-nucleotide ribosomal RNA is filed under the name uncultured bacterium. RNAcentral's name for it is "partial 16S ribosomal RNA". It matches the Rfam family "Bacterial small subunit ribosomal RNA", at positions 524 to 776 of the family's 1533-position model. The record is from RNAcentral.
UACGAAGGGGGCUAGCGUUGCUCGGAAUCACUGGGCGUAAAGCGCACGUAGGCGGCUUUCUAAGUCAGGGGUGAAAUCCUGGAGCUCAACUCCAGAACUGCCUUUGAUACUGGAGAGCUUGAGUCCGGAAGAGGUGAGUGGAACUCCGAGUGUAGAGGUGAAAUUCGUAGAUAUUCGGAAGAACACCAGUGGCGAAGGCGGGUCUCUGGACAGUUCCUGACACUGAGGCGCGACAGCGUGGGGAGCAAACAGG